This 74-nucleotide transfer RNA is filed under the name Fidelibacterota bacterium. RNAcentral describes it as "tRNA-Met". It matches the Rfam family "tRNA". Rfam says of the family: Transfer RNA (tRNA) molecules are approximately 80 nucleotides in length. Their secondary structure includes four short double-helical elements and three loops (D, anti-codon, and T loops). Further hydrogen bonds mediate the characteristic L-shaped molecular structure. tRNAs have two regions of fundamental functional importance: the anti-codon, which is responsible for specific mRNA codon recognition, and the 3' end, to which the tRNAs corresponding amino acid is attached (by aminoacyl-tRNA synthetases). tRNAs cope with the degeneracy of the genetic code in two manners: having more than one tRNA (with a specific anti-codon) for a particular amino acid; and 'wobble' base-pairing, i.e. permitting non-standard base-pairing at the 3rd anti-codon position. Lineage: Bacteria; Pseudomonadati; Fidelibacterota. The record is from RNAcentral.
GGCAGGGUAGCUCAGUUGGUUAGAGCACCGGCUUCAUAAGCCGGGCGUCGGGAGUUCAAAUCUCCCCCCUGCUA